GACGUAGGGAGCGAGCGUUACCCGGAAUUAUUGGGCGUAAAGCGUCUGUAGGCGGACUGUUAAGUCUGGUGUAAAAUUUAGAGGCUCAACCUCUAAACCGUACCGGAAACUGGCAGACUAGAGAAAGGUAGAGGUUGGUAGAAUUAUCGUUGUAGGGGUAAAAUCCGUUGAUAACGAUAAGAAUACCAAAAGUGAAAACAGCCAACUGGACCUUUUCUGACGCUGAGAGACGAAAGCGUGGGAAGCAAACAGG
This 253-nucleotide ribosomal RNA is filed under the name uncultured bacterium. RNAcentral's name for it is "partial 16S ribosomal RNA". It matches the Rfam family "Bacterial small subunit ribosomal RNA", at positions 524 to 776 of the family's 1533-position model. The record is from RNAcentral.